ACGCGAAGAACCUUACCCAGGCUUGAACAGCCAGUGACCACUCCUGAAAAGGAGCUUCCGCAAGGACACUGGUAGAGGUGCUGCAUGGCUGUCGUCAGCUCGUGUCGUGAGAUGUUGGGUUAAGUCCCGCAACGAGCGCAACCCUUGUCUGCUGUUGCCAUCACGUUAUGGUGGGCACUCUGCAGAGACUGCCGGUGAUAAACCGGAGGAAGGUGGGGAUGACGUCAAGUCAGCAUGGCCUUUAUGUCUGGGGCUACACACGUGCUACAAUGGCAGAUACAAACCGUCGCGAGACCGCAAGGUGGAGCUAAUCGGAGAAAGUCUGUCUCAGUUCGGAUUGUCGGCUGCAACUCGCCGGCAUGAAGUUGGAAUCGCUAGUAAUCGCGGAUCAGCACGCCGCGGUGAAUACGUUCCCGGGCCUUGUA
This 425-nucleotide ribosomal RNA is filed under the name uncultured Acidobacterium sp. Its description in RNAcentral is "bacterial SSU rRNA". It matches the Rfam family "Bacterial small subunit ribosomal RNA", at positions 959 to 1385 of the family's 1533-position model. The record is from RNAcentral. Lineage: Bacteria; Pseudomonadati; Acidobacteriota; Terriglobia; Terriglobales; Acidobacteriaceae.